Molecule: ribosomal RNA, 253 nt
Filed under: uncultured bacterium
Lineage: Bacteria
Description: partial 16S ribosomal RNA
Rfam family: Bacterial small subunit ribosomal RNA
Source: RNAcentral
GACAGAGGGUGCAAACGUUGUUCGGAAUUACUGGGCGUAAAGCGCGUGUAGGCGGCCAACUAAGUCGGGCGUGAAAUCCCACGGCUCAACCGUGGAAGUGCACUCGAAACUGGAUGGCUAGAGUCCUGGAGAGGAAGGUGGAAUGCUUGGUGUAGAGGUGAAAUUCGUAGAUAUCAAGCGGAACACCGAUGGCGAAGGCAGCCCCCUGGGUCAAGAUUGACGCUCAUGCACGAAAGCGUGGGGAGCAAACAGG